GACGAACCGAGCGAACGUUGUUCGGAAUCACUGGGCUUAAAGGGCGCGUAGGCGGGUGCUCAAGUCCGUGGUGAAAUCCUCCGGCUCAACCGGAGAACUGCCUCGGAUACUGGAUGCCUCGAGGGUGGUAGGGGUAUGCGGAACUAUCGGUGGAGCGGUGAAAUGCGUUGAUAUCGAUAGGAACUCCGGUGGCGAAGGCGGCAUACUGGACCACCUCUGACGCUGAGGCGCGAAAGCCAGGGGAGCAAACGGG
RNAcentral lists this ribosomal RNA (253 nucleotides) under uncultured bacterium. RNAcentral's name for it is "partial 16S ribosomal RNA". It matches the Rfam family "Bacterial small subunit ribosomal RNA", at positions 524 to 776 of the family's 1533-position model. The record is from RNAcentral.